This 870-nucleotide long non-coding RNA is filed under the name Rattus norvegicus (Norway rat). Its description in RNAcentral is "long non-coding RNA NONRATT020187". The record is from RNAcentral. Lineage: Eukaryota; Metazoa; Chordata; Mammalia; Rodentia; Muridae.
AACCGGGAAGAGGAAUAGCAAUCAAAAUGUAAAUAAGAAAUACUCAAGUUAAUAAAGAUAAAAAAGAAUGAAAAAGAAAGAAAGAAAAUGGGAAAACCUGGAAGGGGUCUUACUAGUGUGCACCCAGGGUGCUAUAGAUAGAAGCCAUCUUUGGAAAUGAAGUAUUUUAGACUGGUCUAAAGGUCAGAACCUCCUGCAUAUUCCUCUCUGAAAUUACAGAUAUUAUUGGCUUGUGUUAGCUACCUGUGACUCCAACUUGGCACAGCAGAAUGUGUAAACUGGGAGAUGGGGCAUGUGUCAUCUGAGAGCAAGGAUGUGAUCAGAGCUGACCCUGUGCCACAGCUCUACAUACCCAAAUUUUGCCCAGAGAAAGCUGGUCUCUCAGGAGUGCUGACACACUGCUUAUAGGAGGGACAAGCCACAGUUAGAGACAGAAAGACCAGUUAACACCAGAGAUAACCAGAUGGCAAGAGGCAAGUGCAAGAACAUAAACAACAAAAACCAAGGCCACUUCACAUCAUCAGAACCCAGUUCUCCCACCACAGCAAGCCCUGGAUACCCCAACACACUGGAAAAGCAAAAUUCUGAUUUAAAAUCACAUCUCAUGAUGAUGAUAGAGAACUUUAGGAAGGACAUAAAUAACUCCCUUAAAGAAAUACAGGCGAAGUUUAAAAUUCUCAGGUUAAGUGUCAGAAAUAGUAUGAGAUUUUUCUUUUAGGAAAAAAAAACAUACACACACACAAAAAACCAACAUGGUCUAGCUGCCAACUGUGAGUUAAAACUCAAGGCUCAUUAUGAAGCCUAAAAGUAUUCACAAAUGAGUUUGAAGCUGGUGUCUUUAGAAGGGAGGUAGAAAAAAAAAAAAAAGAA